RNAcentral lists this ribosomal RNA (748 nucleotides) under unidentified microorganism. RNAcentral describes it as "bacterial SSU rRNA". It matches the Rfam family "Bacterial small subunit ribosomal RNA", at positions 51 to 777 of the family's 1533-position model. The record is from RNAcentral.
AUACAUGCAAGUCGAGCGAAUGGAUUGAGAGCUUGCUCUCAANGAAGUUAGCGGCGGACGGNGUGAGUAACACGUGGGUAACCUGCCCAUAAGACUGGGAUAACUCCGGGAAACCGGGGCUAAUACCGGAUAACAUUUUGAACUGCAUGGUUCGAAAUUGAAAGGCGGCUUCGGCUGUCACUUAUGGAUGGACCCGCGUCGCAUUAGCUAGUUGGUGAGGUAACGGCUCACCAAGGCAACGAUGCGUAGCCGACCUGAGAGGGUGAUCGGCCACACUGGGACUGAGACACGGCCCAGACUCCUACGGGAGGCAGCAGUAGGGAAUCUUCCGCAAUGGACGAAAGUCUGACGGAGCAACGCCGCGUGAGUGAUGAAGGCUUUCGGGUCGUAAAACUCUGUUGUUAGGGAAGAACAAGUGCUAGUUGAAUAAGCUGGCACCUUGACGGUACCUAACCAGAAAGCCACGGCUAACUACGUGCCAGCAGCCGCGGUAAUACGUAGGUGGCAAGCGUUAUCCGGAAUUAUUGGGCGUAAAGCGCGCGCAGGUGGUUUCUUAAGUCUGAUGUGAAAGCCCACGGCUCAACCGUGGAGGGUCAUUGGAAACUGGGAGACUUGAGUGCAGAAGAGGAAAGUGGAAUUCCAUGUGUAGCGGUGAAAUGCGUAGAGAUAUGGAGGAACACCAGUGGCGAAGGCGACUUUCUGGUCUGUAACUGACACUGAGGCGCGAAAGCGUGGGGAGCAAACAGGA